AAACCUGUUUUAAAUAUGGUUUAUUUUAUCUGCUGAGAAAAAGGACGUUUGGAGCAUGAGAACAGACAGUUGGCUCUUAAUAAAGUUCCAGGCAAGCCCCUUUUAUUCACUCUCCAGGCGCCAAUAUUUACUCACAAUUGAUGUUUGGCAAUCAGCAGCACACAGACAGACGUGCAGCACUGAGGCUUCAACAAGCAGGUAAUGUGUUUGGUUGUGGCUGUUAGA
Carassius auratus (goldfish) is the source of this 225-nucleotide long non-coding RNA. RefSeq lists it as uncharacterized. The transcript has 3 exons. The record is from RefSeq and is a predicted model, not a curated record. Lineage: Eukaryota; Metazoa; Chordata; Actinopteri; Cypriniformes; Cyprinidae.